GAUCAUCCUCCUCUGCUACGUCGACGACGAUGGCCGCACGCCUCGCGCUGGUGGCGGCGCUCCUGUGCGCCGGAGCCGCGGCCGCGGCGGCGCAGCAGGCGAGCAACGUCCGCGCGACCUACCACUUCUACCGCCCGGCUCAGAACAACUGGGAUCUGGGCGCCCCCGCCGUGAGCGCCUACUGCUCCACCUGGGACGCCGGCAAGCCGUUGUCAUGGCGGUCCAAGUACGGCUGGACGGCGUUCUGCGGCCCCGCCGGCCCACGCGGCCAGGCGUCGUGCGGGAGGUGCAUCCGGGUGACCAACACGGGGACGGGGGCGCAGAUCACGGCGAGGAUCGUGGACCAGUGCGCCAACGGUGGGCUGGACCUCGACUGGGACACCGUGUUCGUCAAGAUCGACACCGACGGCAUGGGGUACCAGAGGGGCCACCUCAUCGUCAACUACGAGUUCGUCAACUGCGGCGACAACC
This 471-nucleotide long non-coding RNA is filed under the name Hordeum vulgare. RNAcentral's name for it is "long non-coding RNA (HVUL_LNC005957)". Lineage: Eukaryota; Viridiplantae; Streptophyta; Magnoliopsida; Poales; Poaceae. The record is from RNAcentral.